UUUUUUUUAUUUUAAUGAUUUUUUCCCCCAUUAUAGCUGCUUUACAGUGUUUGGUCAAUUUUCUACUGUACAGCAAGGUGACCCGGUCAAACAUACAUGUGUACAUUCUUUUUUCUCACAUUGUUAUGCUCCAUCAUAUGUGACUAGAUAUGGUUCCCAGCAUCUUUCUUUCCCUUCCUUCCUUCCUGUCUUUCUUUCUUGGCUGCCUGAUGGCAAAUGGAGCUCCCAGGCCAGGGAUCAGAUCUGACCUGCAGUUGUGACCUAUGCCGAAGCUGCAGCAACACCAGAUCCUUUAAGCCACUGUGCCCGGCUGGGGAAUCUAACGUGCGUCCUGGCACUGCAGCGACAGCACUGAUCCUGUUGCCCACAGCGGGAACUCCCAUCCAAGUAGCUUUUAAUCGUAUGUUUAUUAAAGGGCCAAAUCAGAAUCUUUCUCUUCCAGUAAAAAGGACCAGGAUGGAAUGGGAAACCCUGUCCACUUGGAUUUAUUUAUUUAUUUUAUUUAUUUUUUGUCUUUUUAGGGCCACACCCAUGGCAUACGGACGGUCCCAGGCUAGGGGUCAAAUUGGAGCUGCAGUCGCUAGCCUACACCACAGCCACAGCACUUCAGCCCUCUAACCAGCCCUCCAACCAGCCCCUCUAAUCAGUCCCUCUAAGCAGCCCUCUAAGCAGCCCUCUAAGCAGCCCUCUAUGCAGCCCCUCUAACCAGCCCCUCUAACAAGCCCUCUAACCAGCCCUCCAACCAAGCCCUCCAACCAGCCCUUCCAAUGUCCUCCUAAUUCUCAACCGUGGGGCUCUGAGGACCUACAGGGGCUCUUCCCAAUCCCCCCCCUUAAGUGAUGUGGAGAAACAUCUGGCGAUGGGGGGCGAGUCCCUUCCAGUCCUAACCGACACCAGAGCCGCACUCUCAGUGCUCCCUCCACUGCUACAAAGCAGCCCCUGCCCCAAAGGCCUGACACAGCUCAGAUAGUGGGAUGGCUAAUGAAUCUCAAGAGGUUCCUGUCACCGAACCUACUCCCUUCUGCUCAGGCCCUUUGAGAAAUGCACACCCUCUGGUGGAGGCCGGCAGCUGCAGCUCCGAUUCCACCCCGAGCCUGGGAACCCCCAUACGCUGCGGGUGCGGCCCUAAAAAAAAAAAAAAGCAAAAUAAAUAAAUAAAUAUAAGAAAUAAGACUCAACUGGCAAGGUUUUAGAGGCCUUCCCAAUGGCUUGGUCUCAAGCAUGGCUGUUGGUCCUUCUAGAUCUUAGAUCCACCUCUUCAGGAACUCAUUAAAGUCUCACUCUUUGAGAGAGUCCUAGGACGCCUGAUGCACUUGGCUCUUGCCUCUUUAUUUACAGCUGAUAAAAGAUGAGAUAGUCCAACAUUGCAAAGGCCUAAUUGCUUCCAUUAAAAACAACACCACUAUGGUUUUUUUUUUUCUUUCUGUCUUUUUGUCUUUUCUUGGGCCGCUUCCUGCAGCAUAUGGAGGUUCCCAGGCGAGGGGUCGAAUCAGAGCUAUAGCCGCUGGCCUACACCAUAGCCAUAGCAACAUGGGAUCCGAGCCGUGUCUGCGACCUACAACCCAGCUCACAGCAAUGCCAGAUCCUUAACCCACUGAGCAAGGCCACGGAUCGAACCCGCAACCUCAUGGUUCCCAGUUGGAUUCUUCAACCACUGAGCCAUGACAGGAACUUCAACAACACCACGCUUUGAUAGAGCAACCCUUUCACAGUGCCCUCCUGGGAGACAAAGACCUAAAGCAUCACACCUUGCAGCCUGGAGCUUUUGUCUGUUGGAAAAGAUGCCGCCAGAAGGACUGUCUUCAGCCUCACGGGAAAGGCCCCUAUCAAGUACUGCCAACCAACUGUCGUGCCACCAAACUCCAAGGAAAAGACCUGUGAAUUCACAUGACGCACCUAAAGAAGGCGUGUCACACCUAAACCCUGACCAGAACUGCUUAUCACCUGGUGGCCUGAAAAUAAAGAUUUACUAGAACUGAAGCUGAUGAGACAUCCGAUGAGACAGCUUCCCCAAGAUAUCUAGACUGAGCCUGUUGGCAGUUGGUCACCAAAACUGUGACAAUGACUUAACACUUCGGAUGAGCUCCCUGUUUCUUGAAUGUGACCUUGAUAGGUUUCCGAUCCCUGCACUUCCCCUCUGAUGUGGAACACUAAGCCCAGGAAAGAAUCUUCCUGAUAGUGAAAGAUAAAAAGCCACUGAAACUGUUCCUGAGAUGGCGCAACAGGAUCGGCGGCAUCUUGGCAGUGCUAGGACACAGGUUUGAUCCCCGUCCGGGCACAGUGGGCUAAGGAUCUGAUGUUGGUGUAGCCAUGGCAUAGGCUGCAACUGCAGCUCAGAUCUGAUCCCUGGCCCGGGAACGCCAUAGGCCACAGGACAGCCAAAAAAAAAAAAAAAAAAAAAGCCACUGAAACUAACAAAGCUCAUGAUUAGCAAGGCUUUCACAGAAAGAUCUUGAUCAAAAGGGGUAAAUGUAUAAAAUUAAUCAACAGAAACCUCAGUUAGAUAGAGUCAGGAGACCAGAAGGGGUGCUCUCAGACCCUAAAAGGAAGAAGGAAGAUUGCUUUCUUGGCAAGGACUUGGGCAGAAAAACACCAUGGGCUCUCUGUUUAUUUUAGUUGUCCCAGUGUUACUCAACGUGUGUGCCUGACCGCAGUG
RNAcentral lists this long non-coding RNA (2656 nucleotides) under Sus scrofa (pig). RNAcentral describes it as "lncRNA (ENSSSCG00005034651.1)". The record is from RNAcentral. Lineage: Eukaryota; Metazoa; Chordata; Mammalia; Artiodactyla; Suidae.